This 3051-nucleotide ribosomal RNA is filed under the name Triticum aestivum (bread wheat). RNAcentral describes it as "partial small subunit ribosomal RNA". Lineage: Eukaryota; Viridiplantae; Streptophyta; Magnoliopsida; Poales; Poaceae. The record is from RNAcentral.
AUGGCUGACCGCGACGCAUCCGACACCGCGGCUGUCCGCGACGAGGCCCUGGAGGCGCUAAAGCUCCACGACGCGGGCAACCACGCGGAGGCGCUGGCCCGCGCCGUGGAGCUCGCCGGCGCUCAUCCAGGCUCCGCGCUCGCGCGCAACCUCACCGGGUAUCUGCACAAGCAGGCGGGCGUCGCGCAUCGACCGGCCGCGCCCUCGGCGACGAGCAGGCCGCGUCCGAGCACUACUCCGCCUCGCUCGAGUCCUUCUCCGCCGCGGCGACUCUCGCUCCUAACUGCAUCGUCACAGCAUUGGCCCACGCGGAGGCGCUCGCCGCCUGCCAUCGGCACGGCGACGCGCACAAGGAGCUGCUGCGCGCCCUCGCGAUCACCGACGCCGACCACGACGACCCUGCUCUUCACAACGUGCGGGUUGAGUCCUCCGAUCUGCUGUGCCGCGACAUGGAGAAGCCGAGGAAGAGGAAAGCCAUCAUGGACCGAUUCGCCAAGAUCAUCUGCCAAGAGACUGUACCUAGAGAGGCCAAGGAAUUGCUGGAUCCCUGCUGCUGCAACGCGAGAGAAAGCAAGGAUCCUCUCCCACAGCUAUCCUUACUCCGCGCGUGCCCAGCUCCUUGCUGCAUACACCGAUUUGGCGCAAGCUCGUGCCCUCCAUCUGCCAACCUGCAAGAAGCAACUCCUGCGUCGCACUCUUGGCAUCAUUAGUCCUGCCGCAGCAAAGUUUGAUUCCUCGCUCGUCAUCGCUUUGUUCCGCGCCAAGCUCUUGUUCGCUUUGGAUGAAUUUGAUGCUGCUGAGAGCGAGUGCCUCCGAGCACUUCGCAUUGCUACCCCAGAUGACCCCAGUAACGAAGCCAUCCCUCCUCUUUCUGUCUCUGGGGAAGAUUACGCUUCCAGAGUACUAUCUAUGAAGAAGCAGCUACAUGUCUUACAUAAGCAGAUCACAGUGGGGGCUGCAACCUACUGGUGCUCUAUGACAAACACGCAGCAGCAGGACUGUAUCAGAUCAGUGAGUGUUGACGAGUUGCAUGCACAUUAUCACAGGAUCGACAAGUCUGCGGCAAAUACCAUAGCUGAUGUGCAGCGCUUUGUUAAGAGGCACGAUGCUUGGAGGUUCUGGACGUGCCCUCAUUCGAGUUGUCAUGCCAAGAAGUUUCUGAACCCUCACACACUCUGGCAACAUAUGUGCAGCAAGCACCGGGACGAUAACUGGGAGAAACUUCAGGCAAUGUUAGGAACUGCACUUCGUGCAGAUUCAUUGAAGGAGGAUCACUUGCUGAAUGGGGUAACUCUCAGUGAGGAUUCACUCCAUCAGCGUGACGUUUUCCGCUUACCAAGGAUACAGGAUGUGUUUGAAUCCUUGCUAUGUUGGCCAUCUGUUGGAAUGGAAGCAGAGCCGGUUGCCGGAAUGCAACGGAGGAAAUGCAGCGAAGCUUUGCAGAUCCUGGAGGACAUGAAAGAGAAAUUGAAGAUGCUGCCGGAAGAGUCAUCUAGCACGGAGUUUGGCGACUGUUGCUUGGAAAUACAAGCGAUGCUGCUUAAGUUUGUUGAAGUUUCAGUUAUGGAUUAUCGUCAAGUCAUACUUCCCCUUGCAGGAUCAUUUCGAUGGAGAGAUAUUAAAAGAGAUAUUGUUCAUGCUGUGAAUGCCCCUGGAAAGACAAUUGGUGAUGCAAAGAUUGAUGCUGUUUUCAGCUCAAUUUUCUCCCAAGCAAAGCAUAUGGACCAUCAAAACGGUGACAACAGACAGAUAAGGAACCUGGAGACAUUACACAAAGAGGAAGAGAUGCUCAAGGCUGACACAUGUGAAGAUGCGAUGAACGAAACUGCAGGAUUGGCAGAUGUGGCGCUAUCAGAUAAAAGAGUUUUGAGCUGGAUUGGCUGCAGCAAAAGCCAGGAUACUAACUCUGAAGUGAUGGAUGGCGAGGAACAUAUAUCAUAUGAACGAGUCCUUGAUCCACUUAUGUUUGGAGGGUCACAAGUUUACAAUGCAUGCACCUGGAGUGUUAAUGGUCCAAGGAACUUGAUUUGUGAAAGCUACAAACAAUGCAUGGGAAAUAUAUUGAUGUGGAAUUUCCUGAAAGGAAAACAGCUUGAUGUAAGCAAAUUAUUGGGUGAAGAUUGUUUCCUGUCCACAACAGAAGUUGAGGGAACCUUCUAUCUCACCCUUGAGUACUAUGAUGCUGAGGAUGACGAAAACUACAGGGUGACAGUGCCCAUUGAUGGCAGGGAGGGUUGGACCUACGGUAUCAUAAAUGAUCAUGGUCGAUUCGAGUACCAUCAUUCUUAUAUGCGAUACAUGACAGAAGAAAACGAGAUGAUGUUGGAUUUCCCAGGAGAUUAUGCGAACUUGUCACCAGAUGGUCAUACCAAGAUGCAACUUGGCGUACCUUCCAUUCAGUGGGCUAUCAAAGUAGCCGCAAAGCAUACAGCAGAAAUGCCUACCACACUGGAAUUUCAAACAGCGUGUGGGAUAAUUGUCAAUUAUGCCUGUGAAGGGUAUAAGCAGAAUCCAUCAAUGAAAUUGAAUUGUGAUUCACUCAUAUCAGAGGGCAAUACCUACAUGGAUUGGUUGGUAUCUAAAAAGAAUAAGAGGUGGAUGAAGUUCAGUGAAGGCAGUCUUCACUGCUUCUUGAUGAGGCUCAGAUAUCCUGCUGACUUAUAUGAGGCGAAAUUUCCUCCAACAGAGGAUGUUGUAACUGCUGAGGAUGCUAUGAGAUGUCUCUUGAUUUAUCCUUAUAACGCCAUCCCAAGGCCAUCGUGGAAGACACGCGCAAGAACUUGGAAGUGUUUCCCACUAGAUAGAGGCGCCGAAGAAGCCGGUGGCCAACCACAUCACCUGAGCAGCAUCUUCGGAGAAAGAUGGCAGUUUAAUAAGCAGCUGCUACAUGAUAUUCCGAGCCAGAACUUCAUGGAUGUGGAUGCCGCAGUUCAAAAUAUCCAGCGAUUCAAAAUAAGGAGGGCCUCACCGACACCAAGUAGACCAUUCUCAGCAACUACAAUGAAGAAAUGUCUUCAUCGUCUUCCAUCCGUUAUCAGCAAACUGAGAUGA